This 219-nucleotide small RNA is filed under the name Salvator merianae (Argentine black and white tegu). RNAcentral's name for it is "7SK RNA (ENSSMRG00000000366.1)". The record is from RNAcentral. Lineage: Eukaryota; Metazoa; Chordata; Lepidosauria; Squamata; Teiidae.
GAAUACAAUGUGUGGACAAUCUGCCAGCGAUUGCCAGGACUGAUUUGGCUGAUCCGGCUGGCUAGGCAUGUGUCCCCNUCCUCUUUUGCUGUUCCAGGUGUAUCCCUCCUCUCAGUGGAAGACAGCGAUCCACAACAGGAGUGUCCUGUUCUUCAGUCAAGGGUAAUGAUACUACCCGAUUCGAAAUGGGUUGUCUUUCAUGGUUGACUAAGACUUCUU